UGCUCUGGUCAGAGCCCCUGGAGCCUGUCCAAGCGUCAUCGCUUCCCAAGCCGAGAGCGCGAGUUCGAUUCUCGUCACCCGCUCCA
RNAcentral lists this transfer RNA (86 nucleotides) under Streptomyces nodosus. RNAcentral's name for it is "tRNA-Gly". Lineage: Bacteria; Bacillati; Actinomycetota; Actinomycetes; Kitasatosporales; Streptomycetaceae. The record is from RNAcentral.